GUUGUUUCUAGCAAUCUCACCUAUUAGAUUUGGUUGGGAGGGACUUAUAGCUCAUCUUUAAAUAGAGCAGAUUAACAUUAUUAAACUAGACACUCUUCACUGGAUCCUGGUGUGUAUAAUAUUCAUACUUCUUUUGUAUACUUUGGGGUCUUGAGAUUGUUUGAAAGGAUCUUCUGUGAGAUUCAAUCCAGCAGUCCAGGUUUAAAAUGAGUAAUUCACAGCAAAACGCUAACCUGAGGAUUGAAGAGUGCAGAGCCCGAGUGUUGGAAAAAUAUGAACUCACUAUAAUAAAAGAAAUUGGAAGAGGGGUGUCAGGAAUAGCAUUCCUGGUGAAGGAUCCAGAUGGAGAUGUCUAUGUAGUCAAGGAGAUAUAUUCCAGAGAUGCGAAGGAAAUGGUCAAAGUCAUACAAGAAGUCGAGAUCCUGAAGAAACUGAAGCAUGGAUAUAUUGUUACUUAUGAAGAUUCAUUUGAAGGUUCGUAUAAAUUUUAGAAAGAGAGUCAAUUCCACAUUUACAUGAAUAUAAAUGGCAGAUGCCUUUAUGCAAUACAUUGUGUUCAGAGUAUAUUUCAUAAUGCAUUUCCU
This is a long non-coding RNA of Cyprinus carpio (common carp), 584 nucleotides long. The record is from Ensembl. NCBI's taxonomy places the organism in Eukaryota, Metazoa, Chordata, Actinopteri, Cypriniformes, Cyprinidae.